RNAcentral lists this ribosomal RNA (253 nucleotides) under uncultured bacterium. Its description in RNAcentral is "partial 16S ribosomal RNA". It matches the Rfam family "Bacterial small subunit ribosomal RNA", at positions 524 to 776 of the family's 1533-position model. The record is from RNAcentral.
UACGUAGGGUGCAAGCGUUAAUCGGAAUUACUGGGCGUAAAGCGUGCGCAGGCGGUUUUGUAAGUCUGUCGUGAAAUCCCCGGGCUCAACCUGGGAAUUGCGAUGGAGACUGCAAGGCUAGAAUCUGGCAGAGGGGGGUAGAAUUCCACGUGUAGCAGUGAAAUGCGUAGAUAUCUGGAGGAACACCGGUGGCGAAGGCGGCAUCCUGGACCGACACUGACGCUGAGGCGCGAAAGCUAGGGUAGCAAACGGG